This 275-nucleotide unclassified non-coding RNA is filed under the name Glomeraceae sp. RNAcentral's name for it is "partial contains 5.8S ribosomal RNA and internal transcribed spacer 2". The stretch from base 1 to 71 matches the Rfam family "5.8S ribosomal RNA", at positions 84 to 154 of the family's 154-position model. Lineage: Eukaryota; Fungi; Glomeromycota; Glomeromycetes; Glomerales; Glomeraceae. The record is from RNAcentral.
GUGAAUCAUCGAAUUUUUGAACGCAAAUUGCGCUUCCUGGCAUCCCGGGAAGUAUGCCUGUUUGAGGGUCAGUAUUAAUAAAAAAUCGGUUUAGAUACAAUUUGUUACUUUUCCGGAGUUUGGGCUAUUUUAACAUUUUUGGUUAUUAAGCUUAAAAUUUACCUUUUUUUUCGCAUUUUUAAACGUACAUAAAUUUUUUUUGUUCUUCUAUUCUGAAUUCCAAAAUCUUAUUAGAUGCGAGCUCAUCGUGUGGCUUGGUGUCCAUAAAUUUUUCA